This 1270-nucleotide long non-coding RNA is filed under the name Ursus maritimus (polar bear). Its description in RNAcentral is "lncRNA (ENSUMAG00000007420.1)". The record is from RNAcentral. Lineage: Eukaryota; Metazoa; Chordata; Mammalia; Carnivora; Ursidae.
AUGAGGAAAAAGACGGUGAUGUCAGCCGCAGACAGGAUCCUACAGCCCAGAAGCCGCCUGCUGUAUCAGUCACCUGUUCCAGGAGCAGCUGUCUUUCACACUGCUGUCCGUGUGCCACCGGGAGCAAAGCAGACGGGACAGCUGCCCCCACAGACGGACUCCGCCCCUGAGCGCCCCCUCCCCGCGUCUGAGCCAGGGCGUCCUAGCUUCACGGCCGCCACCUGGAGACCGGCUUUUGCAGAAGAUGGAAGUAAACUGGGAAACAGGUAACAUGACCAAGGAGGCGGGUUGGCCAAUCCACACGGCGCUCACAGAUGGAGGUUUCCCCUCGCCCCUGCUCCGCCCGACCUUGCCGCCACCACCCUCAAACCCCUCCCCGUGAACCUGGGUGAUGGCCAUGCUGGGGUACGGUGGCAGCAAUGCCCUGGGGUGCUCCCGGAGGUGUCCCCGCCUUCCUGGCCGCACGGCCACAGCCCCCAGCACAGCCGCCUGAGCUGAGCUCAGAGCAGACGGUCACUUUAAGGCACGAAGGUCGGGGGCUGUGUUUGCAGUGACAGACCCCCAGACGCGGGCCUCCCUCUGUUGCCUUCUCCGUCUUUCCCUCCGUGAUCUCCUGGUCACGGUGAUGCUCUCAGAAGCUGGGACGCAGGCCUGGAGACCACACCUGCGCCUGUCCCCUUGCAGGCCUGGGACCCUGCUCUCCUGUGUGGUGUCCUCUGACAGGAAGCCGCAGGCCUGCUUCGGGGGGGAGGGGCUAAAUCUGGAUCAUAUUUUGCAGUUUUCCUUAGGAAGCCCCUGAACUGUAAGCUACCCACAGAGCAUACGCGCACCCCCCGUUCUUGCCUCUUUCCAGGGGGGCGAAGCAGUCAUGACCACACUCGACGCUGCAGGAGCUCUGCUCUGGGCACCGGCCGCUUCCCUCCCCGCAGCCGCGGGGGUGCUCGCGCACGAGGACAGAGCAGGCAGACGAGCGCAGGCGCCCGAGCUUCGCAGGUAGCAGCCACGGUGCAGCAGAUCGCAGGGACACAGAUACCGGGGCAGGCUGGCCCCCUCAGCCCGGCCCGUGCUGGAAGGGGUCCGAACUGUCCGUGACGUCCCACGGGUUCUGCGUGAUGCCGUAAGCGCCGACCCCAGACACACAGACCGCACUGUUCUCACCACCGCGGGGGACGGCGGGCGGCGGGCUUGGGGAUGUGGAGGGCCCCUGCCUGGCAGCACAGACACCUCUGUCAACGCGACCCUUCCCCGCAGCCUCGUGGACGCAGCCUGC